GCCGGGCGUGGUGGCGCAUGCCUGUAAUCCCAGCUACUUGGGAGGCUGAGGCAGGAGAAUCGCUUGAACCCGGGAGAUGGAGGUUGCAGUGAGCCAACAUCUACCACGCCAUUGCACUCCAGCCUGGGCAACAAGAGCGAAACUCUGUCUCUA
RNAcentral lists this non-coding RNA (153 nucleotides) under Gorilla gorilla gorilla (western lowland gorilla). The record is from Rfam by way of RNAcentral. Lineage: Eukaryota; Metazoa; Chordata; Mammalia; Primates; Hominidae.